UUGCACGCUGGCGGCAUGCCUUACACAUGCAAGUCGAACGGUACCAGUUCUUCGGUUUCUGCUGAGUGAGAAACGGGGAAGAAUUCCAUCGAAAGGUGCCGGUCGGGGGGGGAAACGUAACCGAAAGUUUUCCAACACCCCCAACCCACCUACGGAGCAAAGGGGGGGUUUUUCGGACCCCCCCCGGACCGAGCGCCGGAUGGCAGAUUAGGUAGUUGGUGGGAUAAAAGCUUACCAAGCCGACGAUCUGUAGCUGGUCUGAGAGGAUGAUCAGCCACACUGGGACUGAGACACGGCCCAGACUCCUACGGGAGGCAGCAGUGGGGAAUUUUGGACAAUGGGCGCAAGCCUGAUCCAGCCAUGCCGCGUGCAGGAUGAAGGCCUUCGGGUUGUAAACUGCUUUUGUACGGAACGAAAAGGUGCCUUCUAAUAAAGGGCGCUCAUGACGGUACCGUAAGAAUAAGCACCGGCUAACUACGUG
Molecule: ribosomal RNA, 481 nt
Filed under: uncultured bacterium
Lineage: Bacteria
Description: partial 16S ribosomal RNA
Rfam family: Bacterial small subunit ribosomal RNA
Source: RNAcentral